UACGGAGGAGGCAAGCGUUAUCCGGAAUUAUUGGGCGUAAAGCGUCCGCAGGUGGCUAUUCAAGUCUGCGGUCAAAGACUGGGGCUUAACCCUGGAAAGGCCGUGGAAACUGAAGAGCUAGAGUGCAGUAGGGGUAGAGGGAAUUCCCGGUGUAGCGGUGAAAUGCGUAGAUAUCGAGAGGAACACCUGCGGCGAAGGCGGGUUGCUGGGCUGAUACUGACGCUGAGGCGCGAAAGCUAGGGGAGCAAACGGG
RNAcentral lists this ribosomal RNA (253 nucleotides) under uncultured bacterium. RNAcentral's name for it is "partial 16S ribosomal RNA". It matches the Rfam family "Bacterial small subunit ribosomal RNA", at positions 524 to 776 of the family's 1533-position model. The record is from RNAcentral.